Molecule: long non-coding RNA, 1062 nt
Filed under: Macaca mulatta (Rhesus monkey)
Lineage: Eukaryota; Metazoa; Chordata; Mammalia; Primates; Cercopithecidae
Description: lncRNA (ENSMMUG00000044346.2)
Source: RNAcentral
GGCGCCCCGGUCGCCCAGACAUGGCGGACGGCAGCGGCUGGCAGCAUUCCCUCUGUGAGAGCGAACGGGCACGAGUCCAGGCUGCACGGAAGCACAUCCUGGUGUGGGCCCCGAGGCAGAGCCCCCCUCCAGACUGGCAUCUCCCUCUGCCGCAGGAGAAGGACGAGUGACAAGCACCCCUGCCAUUGGCCUGUGCAGCUUCCUUGGUCUGUUUCAAGUUGCUGUUGCAAAACCCUGGGGACUGUGACAGCCUACACAGUCUAGUGGGUCCCUGUGAGCUCUUGCUGGGUUUGGAACGUGGAGCAGGACAUUGCUGGUCCUACUUGCCCACCCCUCACCAGCCUGCAGGGUACCCUGACGCUGCGAUGUUCUGCAGGACAAUUGCACCGCUUCAGAGCUUCCAGGAGGCUAAGCAUUAUGGCCAGGUACCUGUGAGCAGCCAGGUCAGGCUGGGCACAGUAGCAUAGGAGAUGGCGGUCCUGAGGUCUAGGCUUCUCAGGUAAACUGAAGGGUAGCCCUGACCUGUAUGGACACACAGGUGGGUCAUAAUGAGGUAGCUAAACAGUUGCGCCACUGUGAAUGUCUUUCCUAGUCCUUGGGAAACUGCCUGCUAUGUCUCAGGUUUGGUGAACAUUGUGAGUACUCACACUCUGCUCCACUCAGUUCCACUGCACAUGCAGGCAGGUGUGCCGAGCAGGCAGGGCUUGCUGGCCCCUCUGCACCAGCAGGCUUCACUUGUUAGGCUCCCAGGUCAGCCCCUGGAGACUCUAGUUUUUAAGAAAUGCACACAGCUACAGAACACACAACGUUGCAUAAAGAGGGUUUGUGGACUCACCUUAAGAAAUCCAAGUCCAAGACAUGUGGAAUUAAGGACUCCUUCCCUCAAAAAAAUUUCCCCUGGUGGUUAAUGUAUCAAAAGCCAUUUCAUCUGAUUUCAAAUAGAAGCUGAAAAUUAAGUUUACAUUUGUUAGAUUUUAUAUAUAACAGUGUUGUCUGGACAGUGUUAGAAACUUGUAUGCUUAUUCUCUUGUAGGUGUUUUAAAAUGUAUGAACCACCAAAAA